RNAcentral lists this transfer RNA (70 nucleotides) under Candidatus Thorarchaeota archaeon. Its description in RNAcentral is "tRNA-Ile". The record is from RNAcentral. Lineage: Archaea; Promethearchaeati; Candidatus Thorarchaeota.
GGGCCGGUGGUCUAGCCCGGUUAUGACGUCGCCUUUAUACGGCGAAAGUCAGCUCAAUUAUGCCGAGAUA